RNAcentral lists this ribosomal RNA (430 nucleotides) under Scinax ruber group sp. ABGD cluster 70. Its description in RNAcentral is "partial large subunit ribosomal RNA". It matches the Rfam family "Bacterial large subunit ribosomal RNA", at positions 1834 to 2457 of the family's 2925-position model. Lineage: Eukaryota; Metazoa; Chordata; Amphibia; Anura; Hylidae. The record is from RNAcentral.
CUUGAACAAAAAUAAGAGGUCCAGCCUGCCCAGUGACUAAUGUUCAACGGCCGCGGUAUCCUAACCGUGCGAAGGUAGCGUAAUCACUUGUUCUUUAAAUGAGGACUAGUAUGAACGGCACCACGAGGGUUAUACUGUCUCCUCUCUCUAAUCAGUGAAACUAAUCUCCCCGUGAAGAAGCGGGGAUAAAACUAUAAGACGAGAAGACCCUAUGGAGCUUUAAACUUAUCCUCAAACGCCAAAUCACAUAUCAAGUUUCAAACUUCACCACAUGAACUCUCGCGCCAUGAGGACAAUUUUAGGUUGGGGUGACCAUGGAGUAUAAAAUAACCUCCAUGCUGAAUAGGCCUCCAAGCCUUGAGCCAAGGGCUACGACCCAUCGCACUAAAAUAUUAACAUCCAUUGAUCCAAUGUACUUUGAUCAACGAAC